Long non-coding RNA from Thalassophryne amazonica, 102 nucleotides. RefSeq lists it as uncharacterized. NCBI's taxonomy places the organism in Eukaryota, Metazoa, Chordata, Actinopteri, Batrachoidiformes, Batrachoididae. The transcript is spliced from 3 exons. The record is from RefSeq and is a predicted model, not a curated record.
GUAAAAAUGCUUUCAUGAUCGGACAAAGCUUCAACAGCUGCUUAAGAUGUCCCCAUAAACACUAUGGCUGCUGGAUUUACCUUUGUGUUAUCAGUUGAAGAC